This is a non-coding RNA of Chiloscyllium plagiosum (whitespotted bambooshark), 703 nucleotides long. Lineage: Eukaryota; Metazoa; Chordata; Chondrichthyes; Orectolobiformes; Hemiscylliidae. The record is from RefSeq and is a predicted model, not a curated record.
AGGGGCGUAGUGCCUUAGGGCCGUAAGAGCGCAGGGGCAUUGGGGCGUAGAGGCCACCUGCCUGCCUGCCUCAGAGUGCCCAGAAGGUGGGAGGGACAGGUGGCUUGCUGGUUUGCUGGAGUGAACAUGUAUGUUCUAGCUCUAUAUUGAGUGAAGAUACCUCAGACUCUGAGAUGGAUACGGCAUUUGUCGCUGCCUCGAUGCCUUUGCUGCGUGAAGAAGAGAAUGAAUUUCUUCGGAGAUGCUCCAGGAAUCAAGGCUACAAGGUGGAACAACUCAGAAAUACCCAUGGCCUUCUGGAACCGUACUUCCCUCUGACUCCCUUUCCUCCUCCCCUUGGUAAUUCACCAUCCCACCUAACCUGCUGCUCUCCGUUUUGUACUCAGCAAUGGUCUCAGCUUUAUUCCUCCGCUUCCCCACCUUAAUAAAUUUCGGGUACAACAUGACAUUAAACUCUUCUUCUGUUGUCUUCACCUCCGUGCCCAUUUCUUUGGACAAGAGUCCUCUCCCCAUCCCACAGACCCCUUUGCCCAAUUCCAAUAUGCUCCCUCCACUUGGACUCCUCCCUCUGGCCUUUUACUUACACUUGAACUGUUCAUUGAGAACUAUCGACAUGACAUCGGUCAUCUCAAUUUUUUUCCCCCUUUCACCCAAUCCAACCUAUCUCCCUCCAAAGUGACUGCACUCUGUGUGCCUAGAUCCA